GGCGGCGUGCCUAACACAUGCAAGUCGAACGGGGGCUAGGAAAGCUUGCUUUUCCGAAGCCUAGUGGCGGACGGGUGAGUAACGCGUGAGUAACCUGCCUUUCAGAGGGGAAUAACGUUCUGAAAAGAACGCUAAUACCGCAUAACGUACAGUUACCGCAUGGUAGCAGUAACCAAAAGGAGCAAUCCGCUGAGAGAUGGACUCGCGUCCGAUUAGCUAGUUGGUAGGGGUAAAGGCCUACCAAGGCGACGAUCGGUAGCCGGACUGAGAGGUUGAACGGCCACAGUUGGGACUGAGACACGGGCCCAGACUCCGUACGGGGAGGCAGCAGGGUGGGGGAUAUUGCACAAUGGGGGAAACCCUGAUGCAGCAACGCCGCGUGUGGGAAGAAGGUUUUCGGAUUGUAAACCACUGUUCUUGGUGAAGAUAAUGACGGUAACCAAGGAGAAAGCUCCGGCUAACUACGUGCCAGCAGCCGCGGUAA
This 484-nucleotide ribosomal RNA is filed under the name uncultured bacterium. RNAcentral's name for it is "bacterial SSU rRNA". It matches the Rfam family "Bacterial small subunit ribosomal RNA", at positions 38 to 523 of the family's 1533-position model. The record is from RNAcentral.